This 372-nucleotide ribosomal RNA is filed under the name Thermalbibacter longus. RNAcentral's name for it is "bacterial SSU rRNA". It matches the Rfam family "Bacterial small subunit ribosomal RNA", at positions 1172 to 1533 of the family's 1533-position model. Lineage: Bacteria; Pseudomonadati; Thermomicrobiota; Thermomicrobia; Thermomicrobiales; Thermomicrobiaceae. The record is from RNAcentral.
GGGGGGGAUGACGUCAAGUCAGCAUGGCCCUGACGCCCUGGGCGACACACACGCUACAAUGGCCGGGACAAUGGGCGGCCAAGCGGUGACGCGGAGCCAAUCCCCAAACCCGGUCUCAGUUGGGAUCGCGGGCUGCAACUCGCCCGCGUGAACGCGGAGUUGCUAGUAACCGCCGGUCAGCCAUACGGCGGUGAAUAUGUUCCCGGGCCUUGUACACACCGCCCGUCACGUCACGAAAGCUGGCUUCACCUGAAGCCGGUGGGCCAACCCGGGGGUGACCCUGGGAGGCAGCCGUCGAGGGUGGGGCUGGUGAUUGGGACGAAGUCGUAACAAGGUAGCCGUACCGGAAGGUGCGGCUGGAUCACCUCCUUU